RNAcentral lists this ribosomal RNA (228 nucleotides) under uncultured Actinomycetales bacterium. RNAcentral describes it as "partial 16S ribosomal RNA". It matches the Rfam family "Bacterial small subunit ribosomal RNA", at positions 105 to 334 of the family's 1533-position model. Lineage: Bacteria; Bacillati; Actinomycetota; Actinomycetes; Actinomycetales. The record is from RNAcentral.
CUGGUGAGUAACACGUGGGUGAUCUGCCCUGCACUUCCGGAUAAGCUUGGGAAACUGGGUCUAAUACCGGAUAGGACCAUCGUUUAGUGUCGGUGGUGGAAAGUUUUUUCGGUGUGGGAUGAGCUCGCGGCCUAUCAGCUUGUUGGUGGGGUAAUGGCCUACCAAGGCGUCGACGGGUAGCCGGCCUGAGAGGGUGUACGGCCACAUUGGGACUGAGAUACGGCCCAG